CCAGCAUCUUUAUGGAUCCAGCCGUUCCUGUGUUUCUGGAGGAGGCAUCUCACUCCAUAUUCUUCAGAGGAGCCAGAAAAUGCGUAGGAAGUUGUUCUACCUCACCCACCUAGAGAAAGUCCAGGCUUUUCCAAGCUGCUGUGCUGCAGGAAGGAAACGUCCUGUUUUGGUCAACGCGUGACUUGCGGCAGCGCCCCAAGAACUUGCUGAGAGCGAGAGAACUUUUCUAGUGAUUUGGCACCUGCUCGUUUGGACCUGAUGACUUUUUUUCUGGGUAGCUUCAGCAAACCUGGAUCACUGUAAUAAAAUGCUCACCAUGGAGAAAUGGUGCUGUAAA
RNAcentral lists this long non-coding RNA (337 nucleotides) under Apteryx rowi (Okarito brown kiwi). RNAcentral's name for it is "lncRNA (ENSARWG00000003903.1)". The record is from RNAcentral. Lineage: Eukaryota; Metazoa; Chordata; Aves; Apterygiformes; Apterygidae.